ACUCCUACGGGAGGCAGCAGUGGGGUAAUAUUGCACAAUGGGCGCAAGCCUGAUGCAGCCAUGCCGCGUGUGUGAAGAAGGCCUUCGGGUUGUUAAAGCACUUUACAGUAGGGAGGAAGGUAGUGUAGUUAACACUGCACUAUUUGACGUUACCUACAGAAGAAGCACCGGCUAACUCCGUGCCAGCAGCCGCGGUAAUACGGAGGGUGCGAGCGUUAAUCGGAAUUACUGGGCGUAAAAGCGCAUGCAGGUGGUUUGUUAAGUCAGAUGUGAAAGCCCGGGGCUCAACCUCGGAAUUGCAUUUGAAACUGGCAGACUAGAGUACUGUAGAGGGGGGUAGAAUUUCAGGUGUAGCGGUGAAAUGCGUAGAGAUCUGAAGGAAUACCGGUGGCGAAGGCGGCCCCCUGGACAGAUACUGACACUCAGAUGCGAAAGCGUGGGGAGCAAACAGGAUUAGAUACCCUGGUAGGAUA
RNAcentral lists this ribosomal RNA (473 nucleotides) under uncultured bacterium. Its description in RNAcentral is "bacterial SSU rRNA". It matches the Rfam family "Bacterial small subunit ribosomal RNA", at positions 335 to 797 of the family's 1533-position model. The record is from RNAcentral.